GGAGUUUGCUCUCCUAGGUGUAUUACCUAUGACGGCUCACGAGCCCAACCUGCCCGGGUUUUAUGAUCGGAGUUUGCUCUCCUAGGUGUAUUACCUAUGACGGCUCACGAGCCCAACCUGCCCGGGUUUUAUGAUCGGAGUUUGCUCUCCUAGGUGAAUUGCCUACCACGGCUAACGACCUCCACCUGCCCGGGUUUGUAAUCGGAGUUUGCUCUCCUAGGUGAACUGCUUUCGCUAACGACCUCCACCUGCCCGGGUUUGUAAUCGGAGUUUGCUCUCCUAGAUGAAUUGCUUUCGCUAACGACCUCCACCUGCCCGGGUUUGUAAUCGGAGUUUGCUCUCCUAGAUGAAUUGCUUUCGCUAACGACCUCCACCUGCCCGGGUUUGUAAUCGGAGUUUGCUCUCCUAGGUGAAUUGCUUUCGCUAACGACCUCCACCUGCCCGGGUUUGUAAUCGGAGUUUGCUCUCCUA
This is a long non-coding RNA of Eriocheir sinensis (Chinese mitten crab), 471 nucleotides long. RefSeq lists it as uncharacterized. NCBI's taxonomy places the organism in Eukaryota, Metazoa, Arthropoda, Malacostraca, Decapoda, Varunidae. The transcript is spliced from 3 exons. The record is from RefSeq and is a predicted model, not a curated record.